Small nucleolar RNA from Erinaceus europaeus (western European hedgehog), 111 nucleotides. Its record names the gene SNORA70. It matches the Rfam family "Small nucleolar RNA SNORA70". Rfam says of the family: snoRNA U70 seems to be exclusive to mammals and is a member of the H/ACA class of snoRNA which contain H (ANANNA) and ACA box motifs. H/ACA box snoRNAs are involved in the conversion of uridines to pseudouridines (5-ribosyluracil) a constituent of structural RNAs (transfer, ribosomal, small nuclear, and small nucleolar). NCBI's taxonomy places the organism in Eukaryota, Metazoa, Chordata, Mammalia, Eulipotyphla, Erinaceidae. The record is from Ensembl.
UUGCUGGCUUGGUUUAGAGAAAGGGUUGCACUGGCUGCAAACAGCAGCUUCUUCGGUAGGUCUGCCAUCAGUUGCCUGUACAGGUUGCCUUAAGGGGCCUUAGAGACAGCU